UACGUAGGGAGCAAGCGUUGUCCGGAAUCAUUGGGCGUAAAGCGCGCGUAGGCGGCCCUGUAAGUCCGUUGUGAAAGUCAAAGGCUCAACCUUUGAAAGCCGAUGGAUACUGCAGGGCUAGAGUCCGGAAGAGGCGAGUGGAAUUCCUGGUGUAGCGGUGAAAUGCGCAGAUAUCAGGAGGAACACCGGUGGCGAAGGCGGGUCUCUGGGCCGAAAUUGACGCUGAGGAGCGAAAGCGUGGGGAGCAAACAGG
Molecule: ribosomal RNA, 253 nt
Filed under: uncultured bacterium
Lineage: Bacteria
Description: partial 16S ribosomal RNA
Rfam family: Bacterial small subunit ribosomal RNA
Source: RNAcentral